GGGGCUGUAGCUCAGCUGGGAGAGCGCAUGAAUCGCACUCAUGAGGUCAGGGGUUCGAUCCCCCUCAGCUCCACCG
RNAcentral lists this transfer RNA (76 nucleotides) under Chloroflexota bacterium. RNAcentral describes it as "Chloroflexi bacterium tRNA-Ala". It matches the Rfam family "tRNA". Rfam says of the family: Transfer RNA (tRNA) molecules are approximately 80 nucleotides in length. Their secondary structure includes four short double-helical elements and three loops (D, anti-codon, and T loops). Further hydrogen bonds mediate the characteristic L-shaped molecular structure. tRNAs have two regions of fundamental functional importance: the anti-codon, which is responsible for specific mRNA codon recognition, and the 3' end, to which the tRNAs corresponding amino acid is attached (by aminoacyl-tRNA synthetases). tRNAs cope with the degeneracy of the genetic code in two manners: having more than one tRNA (with a specific anti-codon) for a particular amino acid; and 'wobble' base-pairing, i.e. permitting non-standard base-pairing at the 3rd anti-codon position. The record is from RNAcentral. Lineage: Bacteria; Bacillati; Chloroflexota.